GACGAACGCUGGCGGCGUGCUUAACACAUGCAAGUCGAGCGGUAAGGCCCUUUUGGGGGUACACGAGCGGCGAACGGGUGAGUAACACGUGGGUGACCUGCCCUCAGCUCUGGGAUAAGCCUGGGAAACUGGGUCUAAUACUGGAUAUGACCUUUCCUCGCAUGGGGUUGGGUGGAAAGUUUUUCGGCUGGGGGUGGGCCCGCGGCCUAUCAGCUUGUUGGUGGGGUGAUGGCCUACCAAGGCGACGACGGGUAGCCGGCCUGAGAGGGCGACCGGCCACACUGGGACUGAGACACGGCCCAGACUCCUACGGGAGGCAGCAGUGGGGAAUAUUGCGCAAUGGGCGGAAGCCUGACGCAGCGACGCCGCGU
Molecule: ribosomal RNA, 371 nt
Filed under: uncultured bacterium
Lineage: Bacteria
Description: bacterial SSU rRNA
Rfam family: Bacterial small subunit ribosomal RNA
Source: RNAcentral